AAAGGUGGUGGGCUGCGGAGCAUG
This 24-nucleotide microRNA is filed under the name Ovis aries (sheep). RNAcentral describes it as "oar-miR-654-5p". Its record names the gene oar-miR-654-5p. The record is from miRBase by way of RNAcentral. Lineage: Eukaryota; Metazoa; Chordata; Mammalia; Artiodactyla; Bovidae.